GGAGCGGUGUCCGAGCGGUUGAAGGAGGCGGUCUUGAAAACCGUUGAGCCGAAAGGUUCCGGGGGUUCGAAUCCCCCCUGCUCCG
RNAcentral lists this transfer RNA (85 nucleotides) under Treponema sp. Its description in RNAcentral is "tRNA-Ser". It matches the Rfam family "tRNA". Rfam says of the family: Transfer RNA (tRNA) molecules are approximately 80 nucleotides in length. Lineage: Bacteria; Pseudomonadati; Spirochaetota; Spirochaetia; Treponematales; Treponemataceae. RNAcentral also lists the same sequence under 1 other name. The record is from RNAcentral.